RNAcentral lists this ribosomal RNA (460 nucleotides) under uncultured bacterium. RNAcentral's name for it is "partial 16S ribosomal RNA". It matches the Rfam family "Bacterial small subunit ribosomal RNA", at positions 338 to 795 of the family's 1533-position model. The record is from RNAcentral.
CCUACGGGUGGCAGCAGUGAGGAAUAUUGGACAAUGGGCGCGAGCCUGAUGCAGCAAAGCAGCGUGAGGGAAGAAUGCCCUACGUGUUGUAAGCUUCUUUUAUAAAGGAGUAAAGUGCAGCACGUGUACCAUUUGGUAUGUACUUUAUGAAUCAAGAUCGGCCAACUCCGUGCAAGCAGCCGCGGUAAUACGGAGGGUCCGAGCGUUAUCCGGAUUGAUUGGGGGUAAAGGGAGCGUAGAUGGGUUGUUAAGUCAGUUGUGAAAGUUUGCGGCUCAACCGUAAAAUUGCAAUUGAUACUGGCAGUCUUGAGUACAGGUGAGGUAGGCGGAAUUCGUGGUGUAGCGGUGAAAUGCGUAGAUAUCACGAAGAACUCCGAUUGCGAAGGCAGCUUACUAAACUGUAACUGACAUUGAUGCUCGAAAGUGUGGGUAGCAAACAGGAUUAGAUACCCCAGUAGUC